This 68-nucleotide small RNA is filed under the name Chlamydia pneumoniae. RNAcentral's name for it is "ctRNA". The record is from RNAcentral. Lineage: Bacteria; Pseudomonadati; Chlamydiota; Chlamydiia; Chlamydiales; Chlamydiaceae.
UUGGAGUCAUACAUUUGAUUCAUAAAGAGGAGUGAAGAGAGUUCUCUCUUCACUCUUUUAUUUUAGGA